UACGAAGGGUGCAAGCGUUAAUCGGAAUUACUGGGCGUAAAGCGUGCGUAGGCGGUUUGUUAAGUCUGCUGUGAAAUCCCCGGGCUCAACCUGGGAAUGGCAGUGGAUACUGGCAAGCUAGAGUGUGUCAGAGGAUGGUGGAAUUCCCGGUGUAGCGGUGAAAUGCGUAGAGAUCGGGAGGAACAUCAGUGGCGAAGGCGGCCAUCUGGGACAACACUGACGCUGAGGCACGAAAGCGUGGGGAGAAAACAGG
RNAcentral lists this ribosomal RNA (253 nucleotides) under uncultured bacterium. RNAcentral describes it as "partial 16S ribosomal RNA". It matches the Rfam family "Bacterial small subunit ribosomal RNA", at positions 524 to 776 of the family's 1533-position model. The record is from RNAcentral.